UUUAACUGAGCGUUCAGUUACUUGACGUAGACCCGAAACCGGGCGACCUACCCAUGAGCAGGAUGAAGCGAAAGUAAAAUUUCGUGGAGGUCCGAACCCACGAGCGUUGAAAAGCUCGGGGAUGACUUGUGGGUAGCGGUGAAAUUCCAAUCGAGCCCGGAGAUAGCUGGUUCUCCCCGAAAUAGCUUUAGGGCUAGCCUCAAGGUGAGAGAUACGGAGGUAGAGCACUGAAUGUCCUAGGGGGUAUUGCACCUACCGAAGACUAUCAAACUCCGAAUGCCGUCAUCUUAUACUUGGGAGUCAGACUGUGGGUGAUAAGAUUCAUAGUCGAAAGGGCAACAGCCCAGAUCGUCAGCUAAGGUCCCUAAAUGUAAGUUAAGUGGUAAAGGAUGUGGGAUUGCACAGACAACCAGGAUGUUGGCUUAGAAGCAGCCACUCAUUCAAAGAGUGCGUAAUAGCUCACUGGUCGAGUGAUCCUGCGCCGAAGAUUUCCGGGGCUAAAACUUACUACCGAAGCUACGGCAUCAGUAAUGAUGGGUAGGGGAGCUUCCCAUACGGGUUGAAGCAUGACCGUAAGGACAUGUGGACAGUAUGGGAGUGAGAAUGUUGGCAUGAGUAGCGAGAUGUGGGUGAGAAUCCCACAGGCCGUAAACCCAAGGUUUCCAGGGGAAGGUUCGUCCGCCCUGGGUUAGUCGGGACCUAAGCUGAGGCCGAAAGGCGUAGGUGAUGGACAACAGGUUGAUAUUCCUGUACUACCGAUAACCGUUUGAGAGAAGGGAUGACACAGUAGGAUAAGCUAAGCACACUGUUGGUUAUGUGUGCCCAAGCAUUGAGGCAGUCAAAGUAGGCAAAUCCGCUUUGAUAAUGCUGGGAUGUGAUGGGGAGCGAAAUUUAGUAGCGAAGUAGCUGAUUUCACACUGUCAAGAAAAGUCUCUAUCGAGGUUAAAGGUACCCGUACCGCAAACCGACACAGGUGGGUGAGGAGAGUAUCCUAAGGCCAGCGAGAGAACUGUUGUUAAGGAACUCGGCAAAAUGACCCCGUAACUUAGGGAUAAGGGGUGCCACCAUCAGGUGGCCGCAGAGAAUAGGCCCAAGCGACUGUUUACCAAAAACAUAGGUUUCUGCUAAGUCGCAAGACGAUGUAUAGGAGCUGACGCCUGCCCGGUGCUGGAAGGUUAAGGGGAUCUGUUAGAGCAAUCGAAGCAGUGAACUUAAGCCCCAGUAAACGGCGGCCGUAACUAUAACGGUCCUAAGGUAGCGAAAUUCCUUGUCGGGUAAGUUCCGACCCGCACGAAAGGCGUAACGAUUUGGGCACUGUCUCAACAACAGACUCGGUGAAAUUGUAAUUCCGGUGAAGAUGCCGGAUACCUGCGACAGGACGGAAAGACCCCAUGGAGCUUUACUGUAGCUUGACAUUGGGUCUUGGUACUACAUGUACAGGAUAGGUGGGAGGCUUUGAAACCAGGACGCCAGUUUUGGCGGAGCCAUCCUUGGGAUACCACCCUUGUAGUACUGGGACUCUAACCAUAGGCCAUGAAUCUGGUCUUGGGACACUGUCAGGUGGGCAGUUUGACUGGGGCGGUCGCCUCCCAAAAGGUAACGGAGGCGCUCAAAGGUUCUCUCAGUACGGUCGGAAAUCGUACGUAGAGUGUAAAGGCAAAAGAGAGCUUGAUUGCAAGACAUACAGGUCGAGCAAGGAUGAAAAUCGGACUUAGUGAUCCGGUGGUUCUGCGUGGAAGGGCCAUCGCUCAACGGAUAAAAGCUACCCUGGGGAUAACAGGCUUAUCUCCCCCAAGAGUCCACAUCGACGGGGAGGUUUGGCACCUCGAUGUCGGCUCAUCACAUCCUGGGGCUGUAGUAGGUCCCAAGGGUUGGGCUGUUCGCCCAUUAAAGUGGUACGCGAGCUGGGUUCAGAACGUCGUGAGACAGUUCGGUCCCUAUCCGUCGCAGGCGUAGGAAAUUUGAGAAGACCUGUCCUUAGUACGAGAGGACCGGGAUGGACGUACCUCUGGUGUACCAGUUGUCCUGCCAAGGGCAUGGCUGGGUAGCUAUGUACGGAAUGGAUAAGCGCUGAAAGCAUCUAAGCGCGAAGCCAACUUCAAGAUAAGAUUUCCCACCGCAAGGGUAAGACCCCAGAAAGACUAUCUGGUUGAUAGGUCGAAGGUGUAAGUGCAGCAAUGUAUUUAGCUUAUCGAUACUAAUAGGUCGAGGACUUGACCAA
Molecule: ribosomal RNA, 2221 nt
Filed under: Clostridioides difficile
Lineage: Bacteria; Bacillati; Bacillota; Clostridia; Peptostreptococcales; Peptostreptococcaceae
Description: partial 23S ribosomal RNA
Rfam family: Bacterial large subunit ribosomal RNA
Source: RNAcentral